GAUGAAGAACGCAGCGAAAUGCGAUAAGUAGUGUGAAUUGCAGAAUUCAGUGAAUCAUCGAAUCUUUGAACGCACAUUGCGCCCCUUGGUAUUCCAUGGGGCAUGCCUGUUCGAGCGUCAUUUGUACCUUCAAGCUCUGCUUGGUGUUGGGUGUUUGUCCUGCUCUAGUGGCGGGACUCGCCUUAAAGUAAUUGGCAGCCAGUGUUUUGGUUUUGAAGCGCAGCACAAGUCGCGAUUCAAGUCUAUACGCUAGUUUCCACAAGUCUUUUAUCACUUUUGACCUCGGAUCAGGUAGGGAUACCCGCUGAACUUAAGCAUAUCAAUAAGCGGAGGA
RNAcentral lists this unclassified non-coding RNA (334 nucleotides) under soil metagenome. RNAcentral's name for it is "partial contains 5.8S ribosomal RNA, internal transcribed spacer 2, and large subunit ribosomal RNA". The stretch from base 1 to 120 matches the Rfam family "5.8S ribosomal RNA", at positions 35 to 154 of the family's 154-position model. The record is from RNAcentral.